UCCAUUGAAGCGGCGUACGCUGGUCUUUCAUUCCUCCAUUAAAGCUGAGUUGAGAAUUACCACCAUCAGUAACACCUUGACAAGAUGGAGGGAGAUCUAGUAUGCUUCACUAGACCACCGCUGCACCGCACCACCAAAAGUCAGUUCCACCACCGCCGCUAACACAACUGACAUCGCCAGGGGUUUGGGUUUCUGCUAGGAUGAUCACUGACCCGGGAGUCUAGAGAGGACCUAAAUAUUUCUCAUACUUCCUAACCAGGUAUCACUACAUUUGCCUUGUUUCAUUAUAUUAGUAUAUAUUGUUUCAAACCUGCCUAAACUUGGUAAAGCAGGAUAUGUACUGCUCAAACAGCAAGGAGUUACAACGAGUAAAUGAAUGCCCUGGUAUUAUAGUCUCAGAAUGACGCUUGCCUAUUAUAGUCACAAUGUAGAGUUAACCAAUAAUGUAUAAGCAACUUCCCUUGCUUAGGGACUUAGAGAGG
Chenopodium quinoa (quinoa) is the source of this 482-nucleotide long non-coding RNA. RefSeq lists it as uncharacterized. The transcript is spliced from 3 exons. NCBI's taxonomy places the organism in Eukaryota, Viridiplantae, Streptophyta, Magnoliopsida, Caryophyllales, Amaranthaceae. The record is from RefSeq and is a predicted model, not a curated record.